GCAACAUGUACAACUAAUAAUAAGGUGACAGCCCCUGGUUAUAAAAUCCUGUGCCUCUGUUACUGUUUCUGAUUUGCCCUUGAGCUGUCCUGUGGUAAUGCACAAUCGUUUGAGGAAUGCCUCUUGUCUCACAGUGGUCAAACCACCCUCACCUGUGACCUGUCCUCAUGAGAAGCUCACUCAGGCCAGGCCCUAGUCACAGGUACAAAUAUAAACUCUGGAGACAAUGUAAGAGGCAACCAAAGGAGAACUCUGAAUGGCAGAAAAAGGAAGGCAACUGAUUAGGGACCUCAGGGCUACAGGAAAAGUAGCAUUGAGUUAUCUUACAAUCGUCCUGCCUAACAGAAGAAGUGGACUCAGGCUUGGCAUUUUUCUGAACCACAACUUCAGAUCAAAAGACUUUAAUUCCAUCUGCUGGAGAAUGGUCAUAAUAAAUACCACGACUUUUCCAAUGUGAAUGGCACCCUACAGAGUUUUGCAACGAUUGAGGCCCAGAUGUACAUUUAUCAGAAAAGAGAAUUUACCACUAAGUUAUUAGAAGUAUCAUUGUUCUAAUUUCAAACAAGAUGUUUAAGUAUUAUUAACUUUGAACUUUUAAUCUUGCUCAACUGGUAAACAGAAAUGUAUUCUCCCGCAGAGGUGUCUAAGUAACUUUUACUCAUUUUAUUGACUUGACAUCUUUUGGACAUUUGGGAGUCAGGGACAAGACUUAUCUUCAUCUUUAGGAAAAAGUGCUGUGUCUUUUAUAAGUUGAGUAUGUAAAUAAGCAGGCUCACUUAUAUUUUAGAAGAAAUUUUUUUGCAGUAACACUCUUUCUAGUUUAAGAUGACUAAGGAUGAGGUAAUCAUGGCUCAGCAACAUGUUUCAGUUAAGACAGCACUCAAGAGAAUUUCAUUUGCUUUCCAGCCCCACAGUUGGGCCAAGAAAAGUAAUUACAGUGAUUAAUAAUAAUAUUUGAUUUUCAAGUCCCCAAGCCCACUCCUCAGAGCUGGUAUUAUCUGGGGGCAGAGAAACAAAUUGCAGGAAGGAAAUGAGAAGUAUGUCCUACCAUUUGAAUUCUUGAGCAUUACGCAGUCCCAAUGCUGCCAUUGCACACCCGGCUUGUGUCACCCCAUGAAUUUUUAUACAGGAUUUUCAGCAUCUUGUUUUCCUGGUCACCCUAGAACUGAGGGCAGAGCAGAGGUGAUGUUUUCACUCUUUAGGGAUGCAUUUUAAUUAAUGCCUCUUUGAGGAGCCUCUCCUCCUGUUUGGAAGUGCUGUUAGGAAAUUUGCAAGUGGUGAUGGAGAGCAGAUUUAAAAGAAUCAGGGCCUCUGCUUUGAAAACCAAAAAAUGAAACACAACAAAAAUAACACAUCUUUUGUCCUUAAAAGGCCUUAUGUUCUCAUCUCUGACAGGAUUCUGAUGGCCAACACAAGGACAGUUCUAAGAUACCCAAGGUUUAAUAUAAACAAAUAAAUGAAAAGAGAGAGAGAGAGAGAAAAGAAAAGAAAAAAAACAAAACAAAACAAAAAAAACGUGCCCAGGGCAGGGCUGGGUUUCAAGACUCCAGUAGCCUUCAGCUCAGCCACUACCAGGAGGAGUUGCUAUGGGAACCAUUGCAAAAGAUUAAAUAUAUCAAGAGUACAUGAUUGUGAGAAAUGGGUGGGAAAGAAUUAUAUUAAUGUUGAAAUGAUGGUUCUUCUAUUUGUGGGGUUUUCACAUUUUUUUUUCUAAAUUGCAUACAAAAUCUCCUUCACAAACAGAACUCAUUAACAAAUAAGUCUUUGCUGUAUGCUAAACAGAGAGACAAUGGAAUGUUCAUAUUUCAUCAUGAAAAUUAAAGGGCUGUGAUUUUUUGCAGUGCUUGUUUGUUUUCUAAGCCUAGAAUCGCUUUUGGAGUAAACUCUGCCUUUUUGCCUUGCCUGCUACAGUAAUCUUAUAGGGGUGCAUUUGCAGAGUGGUCUGGAGCAGGGCAAUGUGGGGUUCCUCGCUCUUUUCCUCCCAUCCUGUUGUACAUCACAUAUACCAUAUUUAUUUUGUCCCUAGGAUCUGGAAAAAAAAAAUUAACCUUCUUGCUUAUUGCAAUUCUCCUUAGAAAAAAAUUGUCAGGAGGGUUGAGGCUGGGAAGGUAAAUCCCUUAAGAAGAUUCUUUAAAAAGGUGUAAAUGCUGUGACUUGAAUUCAGUAUUCACAACAUUCAGAAUCUCUCAAGAGAAGCUUUUUUCUUCUUAUUAUUAUUGUGAAAUUUUCUCAGUCUGUGAGAAGUCAGUUGUUGAAUCUCACCUGGUAAGUGGGGAUAGCUGGAUCAGAAAGUUUCAGGAAGUGACUCCUGAUCACGCAAAACAGAACUGAAACUCU
This is a long non-coding RNA of Felis catus (domestic cat), 2337 nucleotides long. RefSeq lists it as uncharacterized. NCBI's taxonomy places the organism in Eukaryota, Metazoa, Chordata, Mammalia, Carnivora, Felidae. The record is from RefSeq and is a predicted model, not a curated record. The transcript is spliced from 4 exons.